Molecule: ribosomal RNA, 253 nt
Filed under: uncultured bacterium
Lineage: Bacteria
Description: partial 16S ribosomal RNA
Rfam family: Bacterial small subunit ribosomal RNA
Source: RNAcentral
UACGGGGGGGGCAAGCGUUGUCCGGAUUUACUGGGCGUAAAGAGCGCGCAGGCGGUCGUUCAAGUCGAGUGUGAAAGCCCCCGGCUCAACUGGGGAGGGUCACUCGAUACUGAUCGACUUGAAGGCAGGAGAGGGAAGCGGAAUUCCCGGUGUAGUGGUGAAAUGCGUAGAUAUCGGGAGGAACACCAGUGGCGAAGGCGGCUUCCUGGCCUGUUCUUGACGCUGAGGCGCGAAAGCUAGGGGAGCAAACGGG